This is a non-coding RNA of Chelonoidis abingdonii (Abingdon island giant tortoise), 918 nucleotides long. The record is from RefSeq and is a predicted model, not a curated record. NCBI's taxonomy places the organism in Eukaryota, Metazoa, Chordata, Testudines, Testudinidae.
GGAGAAGGCGCGCAGCCGCCGGCAGACCUGGCCCAGCCGGCCCAGGGCCUGCGCGUCCAGAAACAAGAAUUGGGAAGGAAAACGCCAACAUCUCAAAGUCUCAAGUCAAAACCUCUCCAUCUGAUAAAGAAGUUCUGUCAGCUGCAAGCAAACUGAUUCCCUGUCUAUCUUUCUCCAGGAUGUGUGCACUACCCCAUGCAUGUAAUCCUCAAUGAGAGUCACCCGGGUGCACAAAUAAGAGAUCUCAAAGAAGGCUGCUUGGGUUGAAAGCAAAGGAUCCAGAGCCAAGUUGAGGCCACCUUAGAAGCUGGGAACCUUGUUACUGAGCAGGUCAAUACCAUCCAGCGAGGAGCCAACUGCAGGAGGCAGAAAAGCACCACUCACCACCUCCUGCAUGGGUGCGUUUGGCUGACAGCCGGAAAAAGAAAGAGCAACACUGAAAAUGUACUGGACAUGAUCACAUCUUGGGUAUUUAAUGCAAGUAGCUAAAUUACUGAGCGGGGUAUACAGCAGAUUUGCUCCUAGGCCUGGGAGUCCAUACAGCUGGGUUCUAAUCCUUGGCUCAUCUGCUGAUCUUGACUAAGUCACUUCCCCUCGGUGUGCUUCAGUUCCCAGUCUAUAACAUGGGUGAAUAAUACUGACCUACCUAACGCCAGCACAUGGGGAUGGGGAAGCUUAAUGUUUGGAGAUCCUUAGAUGAAGAGGACAGUGUUAUUUUCAUUAGAUACAUAUAAUAAACACCCCUUACUUAUUUAUACUGCAUGCAGGGAAUGUCUAAUCUGCCUAAUUAUAUGCAGAGGUGGUGUGCGGGCUGGACUGCUACAAGGCUGUUACUGCCUGAGUCUGAGCGGACCACAUCACCCCCAAGAGGGUGUUCAAACAAGAGCACUGAGUUAGAGUUAGUUCUCGAAGUGACCU